Molecule: ribosomal RNA, 1656 nt
Filed under: metagenome
Description: bacterial LSU rRNA
Rfam family: Bacterial large subunit ribosomal RNA
Source: RNAcentral
AUGCGGGAAGAAGCAGUACCGUAAGGAGCUGUGGACUGCAUGGAAGAGAGAAUGCCGGAAUGAGUAGCGAGAAUAAGGUGAGAAUCCUUAUGGCCGAAUAUCCAAGGUUUCCAGAGUAAAGCUGAUCUGCUCUGGGUAAGUCGGGGCCUAAGGCGAGGACGAGAGUCGUAGCCGAUGGACAACAGGUGGAGAUUCCUGUACUGCGGUAUGACAGAACUGUGGGGACACGUAAGGAAAGCGGAAGCCGGGAAUGGAGAGCCCGGUGCAAGCGGGGUACCAGUCACUUUGGCAAAUCCGGGUGGCAAUGGGAAGCCGUGAUGCGGAGCGAAAUAAAGUAGUGAAGUCCGUGAGCCAUGCGUCAAGAAAAGCCGCUAUUGUUUGUACCGUACCCGUACCGUAAACCGACACAGGUGGAUGAGGAGAGAAUCCUAAGGCCGGCGGAAGAAGCAUUGUCAAGGAACUCGGCAAAAUGGCCCCGUAACUUAGGGAUAAGGGGUGCCUCAGAAAUGAGGCCGCAGAGAAUAGGCUCAAGCAACUGUUUAGCAAAAACACAGGUCUAUGCGAAACCGAAAGGUGAGGUAUAUGGGCUGACGCCUGCCCGGUGCUGGAAGGUUAAGAGGAGAGGUUAGCGCAGGCGAAGCUUUGAAUUUAAGCCCCAGUAAACGGCGGCCGUAACUAUAACGGUCCUAAGGUAGCGAAAUUCCUUGUCGGGUAAGUUCCGACCCGCACGAAAGGCGUAAUGAUUUGAGCGCUGUCUCGACAAUGCAUCCGGUGAAAUUGAAGUACCAGUGAAGAUGCUGGUUACCUGCGCCAGGACGGAAAGACCCCAUGGAGCUUUACUCCAGUUUGGUACUGGGACUCGGUAUUGCAUGUACAGGAUAGGUGGGAGGCUAGGAGAUAGUAACGCCAGUUAUUAUGGAGCCGCUGUUGGGAUACCACCCUUGCAGUAUUGGGUUUCUAACCAGCCGCCGUGACCCGGCGGUGGGACAAUGCCAGACGGGGAGUUUGACUGGGGCGGUCGCCUCCGAAAGGGUGUCGGAGGCGCCCAAAGGUUCCCUCAGAAUGGACGGAAACCAUUCGAAGAGUGCAAAGGCAGAAGGGAGCUUGACUGCGACACCGACGGGUGGAGCAGGUACGAAAGUAGGGCUUAGUGAUCCGGUGGUAUUAAGUGGGAAUGCCAUCGCUCAACGGAUAAAAGCUACCCUGGGAUAACAGGCUUAUCACUCCCAAGAGUUCACAUCGACGGAGUGGUUUGGCACCUCGAUGUCGGCUCAUCGCAUCCUGGGGCUGUAGUAGGUCCCAAGGGUUGGGCUGUUCGCCCAUUAAAGCGGUACGCGAGCUGGGUUCAGAACGUCGUGAGACAGUUCGGUCCCUAUCCGGCGUGGGCGUAGGAUAUCUGAGAGGAGCUGUCCUUAGUACGAGAGGACCGGGAUGGACGGGCCGCUGGUGCAUCGGUUAGACUGCCAAGUCUACGGCCGAGUAGCCAAGCCCGGAAGGGAUAAACGCUGAAGGCAUCUAAGCGUGAAGCCCCCCUUAAGAUGAGAUAUCCCAUUCGAAAGAAGUAAACCCCCUUGAAGACGACGAGGUAGAUAGGGCAGAGGUGGAAGUGUGGCAACACAUGGAGCUGACUGUUACUAAUCGGGUGAGGGCUUGACC